Cajanus cajan (pigeon pea) is the source of this 167-nucleotide non-coding RNA. Lineage: Eukaryota; Viridiplantae; Streptophyta; Magnoliopsida; Fabales; Fabaceae. The record is from Rfam.
AUACUUACCUGGAUGGGGUCAAUGGGUGAUCAAGAAGGCCCAUGGCCUAGGGGAGUGACCUCCAUUGCACUUAGGAGGGGUGCUUCUCUAAGGUCUGUCCAAGUGACAGAGCCUACAUCAUAAUUUGUGGUAGUGGUAGUGGGGGCCUGCGUUCGCGCAGCCCCCUC